This 495-nucleotide ribosomal RNA is filed under the name uncultured bacterium. RNAcentral's name for it is "partial 16S ribosomal RNA". It matches the Rfam family "Bacterial small subunit ribosomal RNA", at positions 28 to 507 of the family's 1533-position model. The record is from RNAcentral.
GACGAACGCUGGCGGCGUGCCUAAUACAUGCAAGUAGAACGCUGAAGGAGGAGCUUGCUCUUCUGGAUGAGUUGCGAACGGGUGAGUAACGCGUAGGUAGCCUGCCUGGUAGCGGGGGAUAACUAUUGGAAACGAUAGCUAAUACCGCAUAACAGUAGAUGUUGCAUGACAUUUGCUUAAAAGGUGCAAUUGCACCACUACCAGAUGGACCUGCGUUGUAUUAGCUAGUUGGUGGGGUAACGGCUCACCAAGGCGACGAUACAUAGCCGACCUGAGAGGGUGAUCGGCCACACUGGGACUGAGACACGGCCCAGACUCCUACGGGAGGCAGCAGUAGGGAAUCUUCGGCAAUGGACGGAAGUCUGACCGAGCAACGCCGCGUGAGUGAAGAAGGUUUUCGGAUCGUAAAGCUCUGUUGUAAGAGAAGAACGAGUGUGAGAGUGGAAAGUUCACACUGUGACGGUAUCUUACCAGAAAGGGACGGCUAACUACGUG